Molecule: ribosomal RNA, 253 nt
Filed under: uncultured bacterium
Lineage: Bacteria
Description: partial 16S ribosomal RNA
Rfam family: Bacterial small subunit ribosomal RNA
Source: RNAcentral
UACGGAGGGAGCUAGCGUUGUUCGGAAUUACUGGGCGUAAAGCGCACGUAGGCGGCUUUGUAAGUUAGAGGUGAAAGCCCGGGGCUCAACCCCGGAAUUGCCUUUAAGACUGCAUCGCUUGAAUCCGGGAGAGGUGAGUGGAAUUCCGAGUGUAGAGGUGAAAUUCGUAGAUAUUCGGAAGAACACCAGUGGCGAAGGCGGCUCACUGGACCGGUAUUGACGCUGAGGUGCGAAGGCGUGGGGAGCAAACAGG